Molecule: long non-coding RNA, 286 nt
Organism: Sorghum bicolor (sorghum)
Lineage: Eukaryota; Viridiplantae; Streptophyta; Magnoliopsida; Poales; Poaceae
Exons: 3
Source: RefSeq, a predicted model, not a curated record
AGCAAUCACUGGAUAGUCAUAGGUGUCGAUGUCGGGAUGAACAUGGCAUGGAUUUGUGAUUCUGCAGAUUUUGACCCUCACACAUAUAAAGACUUCAUGUCAAUUCUCAUUACGGCAUUCAGGGCCUAUGUCAAGAAUCACAAAGGAAGGCAUGAUCCAGGUCUGGGGAGCCACUUGCGUUUCAAAUCUCUAUGUUCGUUUCCCAAGCAAAGGCCAGGGAGUCUGCAUUGUGGAUACUAUGUAUGUGCUUUCAUCAGUAACACAAAAGGCUACAGGAGACACCCUA